Anser cygnoides (Swan goose) is the source of this 1845-nucleotide long non-coding RNA. The record is from Ensembl. NCBI's taxonomy places the organism in Eukaryota, Metazoa, Chordata, Aves, Anseriformes, Anatidae.
AUGGCCUUAAAACCGUCUAAUCUGUUGUUCCUGUUCUUUGUACUAAGUUUUUAUAUAAAAAUGGGUAUAACUGUCUGCUCUGACAGGAGUAAGAGUUUAGAGUGGUCUAUUGAAAUAAACUGCAUGCAGAUUUCUUUUUUAAACUGCAGCAAAGGCAGUUCAGCUGUAUCUGAUUGGCUCUACUUCAAGAUUUUCAACAUUCAGCAGGAGAAGAAUAUACAGCUGCAAAAACCAAAACAAAGCAAAAAACCUCCCAAACUGCACAUGCUGGAAUGGCAGCAAGCCCAGCUACAAGAGCUUACCAGAUCCACUCGCAACAGGUGCAAUAGAAAUUGGGUAUGAAAACUGUAAAAGAUAACCAGAGAGGGACUUGCAAGGACACUGGAGAAGAAGCCCUAACUUCUAUCACAGUGAUGCCUACAUACAUGGAGCCCAAAAGAAACACGGUAACUACAGCAGCUGAAAUCAUCUUCAUGGGAAAGGAAAGGAGGGCACCACAAAGGUCAAAGUGGUAUCCUGGCAGCCCGAACACUUGCACUGGCUUCUUCCUCUUGAACUCUAUCCAUAGGAGCUUUGCAAUGCCCGAGGCAGGAAGGAAAUCACUUGCUCCUGAUUUCCAGGAAGAGCACGAGGAAGGAGACAGCAGUGCCUGGAUAACCAGAUAGACAGCCAAAAAUGCCCCAAUUUCUUCCCUGUGCAUCUCUCAGACCCCAACCAAUAACAGGGCCAGGAUGAGAAGAUGUGCAGUCUUCAUACGUGUUUACCCCUUUCCUUUUCAUCCAGUCUUGUUUCUUUCUAUUUGUUUUCUUACCCUCAUCUCUGUGAGAACUCUUUGCACCCCCCUCAGGACUCCUUAUUUCUCAUUUCAAGUCUCUCAGCAGCUCCCAGAGCAUGGAUUUUUUUCUUCACAGGAGAAAACAAAAGGUCUAGCAUCCUUUCCCCUAUCUCUAAGCUAGGGCAUUCUGAAAGUGGCUGGCUCAGAUAAACAUGCAUUCAUCUCCAGUGCUCCCAGAUGCAUCUCAUACAGUGUUCUUCACGGGAGCAAGAUAAGACAGUUUUGUGCAGGAGAAGAAUAUCUGUAAAAGCAGCAUUAAGGACAAGAGGUCUGGUCACCAGCGGGGAAAGAGCGAUGGCUUAAAUUCUCAGCUUCCCUCAUAAAGGCUGUCCUCUCAUGAAUCAAAAGUGUGCUGGGAGAAGUUGACACAGCACUGCAGCACAAGAUACCUCUCAGGACCUGAAAGACCAGAACUGAAAGAUAACCUGGCCUCUCUCCUACCUGAGAGAGUUUUGGAUAGCCCAUGCUACACAUCUAAGCACUAUGUAGGGGUGGGGGGAUGUUGUGAGAGGAGAUUCUAUUUUAAAUGUCCAUGUGGCUCAGUGAGCCCUGCAUAAACACAGUGCAGGAAGAGGAUGCCAUAUGUCGCACACCCACGAGCCCUGAUCUCAAGGGAUUGCCUUACAGGAAGGAAAACACAUUCCAGCAAAAGCCUGAUCCUGGAUCCCUCUCUUUUACUGUUUCCUUUGCUUGGGGGUGUUUUCUGUCACAAGUAAUCAAGGCCACAGCACCCCUGCCAGUCAGGAGGGGUGUCCCGAGUCCCAGCAGCUGAUACUAAUGCUGCUUCAGCAAAAGGGCUGAAGAUCUUCACUUUGAGGCAGAAGGUGGUGGCUGUGGCUACAGAAGCCUGCAGAGGUGGAGGAAAAGGAAGCUCUGGGAGGAAUGUGAGCAUAAACGUCCCAGUGGGGGACUAAGGGAGAGGUCCUGGAGUCUGAAUGAUAUUCCUCUGCUUUUUCUUUUCUUUUCCCCACCAAAAAAUAAUAAAUAUGGCUAUUGUGGAGGAAUCCCCA